ACGUAGGGGGCGAGCGUUGUCCGGAAUCAUUGGGCGUAAAGCGCGUGUAGGCGGCUUGGCAAGUCUGGUGUGAAAGCUCGAGGCUCAACCUCGAGUCUGCACCGGAAACUGCCUUGCUAGAGUCCGGAAGAGGAGACUGGAAUUCCUGGUGUAGCGGUGAAAUGCGUAGAUAUCGGGAAGAACACCGGUGGCGAAGGCGGGUCUCUGGGCGGGAACUGACGCUCAUGCGCGAAAGCGGGGGGAGCAAACAG
Molecule: ribosomal RNA, 251 nt
Filed under: uncultured prokaryote
Description: partial 16S rRNA
Rfam family: Bacterial small subunit ribosomal RNA
Source: RNAcentral